Molecule: ribosomal RNA, 619 nt
Filed under: Salmonella enterica subsp. enterica serovar Enteritidis
Lineage: Bacteria; Pseudomonadati; Pseudomonadota; Gammaproteobacteria; Enterobacterales; Enterobacteriaceae
Description: partial 23S ribosomal RNA
Rfam family: Bacterial large subunit ribosomal RNA
Source: RNAcentral
GGGUUGUGAGGUUAAGCGACUAAGCGUACACGGUGGAUGCCCUGGCAGUCAGAGGCGAUGAAGGGCGUACUAAUCUGCGAUAAGCGCCGGUAAGGUGAUAUGAACCGUUAUAACCGGCGAUACCCGAAUGGGGAAACCCAGUGUGAUUCGUCACACUAUCAUUAACUGAAUCCAUAGGUUAAUGAGGCGAACCGGGGGAACUGAAACAUCUAAGUACCCCGAGGAAAAGAAAUCAACCGAGAUUCCCCCAGUAGCGGCGAGCGAACGGGGAGGAGCCCAGAGCCUGAAUCAGCAUGUGUGUUAGUGGAAGCGUCUGGAAAGGCGCGCGAUACAGGGUGACAGCCCCGUACACAAAAGCGCAUGUGCUGUGAGCUCGAUGAGUAGGGCGGGACACGUGGUAUCCUGUCUGAAUAUGGGGGGACCAUCCUCCAAGGCUAAAUACUCCUGACUGACCGAUAGUGAACCAGUACCGUGAGGGAAAGGCGAAAAGAACCCCGGCGAGGGGAGUGAAAAAGAACCUGAAACCGUGUACGUACAAGCAGUGGGAGCACCCUUUGGGUGUGACUGCGUACCUUUUGUAUAAUGGGUCAGCGACUUAUAUUCUGUAGCAAGGUUAACC